CCUACGGGGGACAGCAGUGGGGAAUAUUGCACAAUGGGGGAAACCCUGAUGCAGCGACGCCGCGUGAGUGAAGAAGUAUUUCGGUACGUAAAGCUCUAUCAGCAGGGAAGAAAAUGACGGUACCUGACUAAGAAGCCCCGGCUAACUACGUGCCAGCAGCCGCGGUAAUACGUAGGGGGCAAGCGUUAUCCGGAUUUACUGGGUGUAAAGGGAGCGUAGACGGCAGCGCAAGUCUGGAGUGAAAUCCCAUGGCUUAACCAUGGAACUGCUUUGGAAACUGUGCAGCUAGAGUGCAGGAGAGGUAAGCGGAAUUCCUAGUGUAGCAGUGAAAUGCGUAGAUAUUAGGAGGAACACCAGUGGCGAAGGCGGCUUACUGGACUGUAACUGACGUUGAGGCUCGAAAGCGUGGGGAGCAAACAGGAUUAGAUACCCUUGUAGUC
This 440-nucleotide ribosomal RNA is filed under the name uncultured bacterium. RNAcentral's name for it is "partial 16S ribosomal RNA". It matches the Rfam family "Bacterial small subunit ribosomal RNA", at positions 338 to 795 of the family's 1533-position model. The record is from RNAcentral.